AUUGAACGCUGGCGGCAUGCUUUACACAUGCAAGUCGAACGGCAGCGCGGGCUUCGGCCUGGCGGCGAGUGGCGAACGGGUGAGUAAUGCAUCGGAACGUGCCCAGUAGUGGGGGAUAGCCCGGCGAAAGCCGGAUUAAUACCGCAUACGACCUGAGGGUGAAAGCGGGGGACCGAAAGGCCUCGCGCUAUUGGAGCGGCCGAUGUCGGAUUAGCUAGUUGGUGGGGUAAAGGCUUACCAAGGCGACGAUCCGUAGCUGGUCUGAGAAGACGACCAGCCACACUGGGACUGAGACACGGCCCAGACUCCUACGGGAGGCAGCAGUGGGGAAUUUUGGACAAUGGGGGCAACCCUGAUCCAGCCAUGCCGCGUGCGGGAAGAAGGCCUUCGGGUUGUAAACCGCUUUUGUUCGGGAAGAAAUCCUCUGGGCUAAUACCCCGGGGGGAUGACGGUACCGAAAGAAUAAGCACCGGCUAACUACGUG
Molecule: ribosomal RNA, 484 nt
Filed under: uncultured bacterium
Lineage: Bacteria
Description: partial 16S ribosomal RNA
Rfam family: Bacterial small subunit ribosomal RNA
Source: RNAcentral